Molecule: ribosomal RNA, 447 nt
Filed under: uncultured bacterium
Lineage: Bacteria
Description: bacterial SSU rRNA
Rfam family: Bacterial small subunit ribosomal RNA
Source: RNAcentral
UCGAAUGAGAAAGCCCGCAAGGGUGAGUAAAGUGGCGUACGGGUGAGUAACACGUGGGUAAUCUACCUCUUGGUGGGGAAUAACCCUGGGAAACCGGGGCUAAUACCGCAUAAGCCCGAAAGGGGAAAGGUGCAAAUCGCCGAGAGAGGAGCCCGCGGCUGAUUAGCUAGUUGGUGGGGUAAGAGCCCACCAAGGCGAAGAUCGAUAGCCGGCCUGAGAGGGCACACGACCACACUGGCACUGAAACACGGGCCAGACUCCUACGGGAGGCAGCAGUGGGGAAUCUUGCACAAUGGGGGAAACCCUGAUGCAGCGACGCCGCGUGAGCGAUGAAGCCCUUCGGGGUGUAAAGCUCUUUCGACCGGAACGAUAAUGACGGUACCGGGAGAAGAAGCUGCGGCUAACUACGUGCCAGCAGCCGCGGUAAUACGUAGGCAGCGAGCGUUG